AGUUUGGGCCCCUGGAAGCCCCAGAGGGUGGGUGAUCCUCUGGAUGUGCCUGGGACUGAAGGAGAUCCUGGGCUGACGGGACCACUGGGUGUGGCUCUGGGGCAGUGGACCGCAAGGCCCAGCAGGUGUUCAGCCCCAGGCUCCCGACGGCCCCCCCCCCCCCCCACGCACCUCCCUCGGUCGGUCGGUCGGCGGGAGCGGAAACUGAGGCACAGCGAAGGCCCAGUCCCAGGCCAGCUCCCACCCUGCUCCUUGGGCCUGGCCUCGGCUUUCUGGCCCCCUCCUCCUGGUCCCCCUGCUCCCGUGCUCCCCCGUCCUUGGGAUCCUGCUCCCCUGCGCGUCCUCCCCUCCUCCUGCUCCCGGUCCUCGGGAUCCUGCUCCCUCUGCCGGUCCUCCCCUCGUCUCCUCCUCCCCUCCUCCUGCUCCCCGUCCUCCGGAUCCUGCUCCCCUGCGCGUCCUCCCCUCCUCCUGCUCCCGGUUCUCGGGAUCCUGCUCCCUCUGCCGGUCCUCCCCUCGUCUCCUCCUCCCCUCCUCCUGCUCCCCGUCCUCCGGAUCCUGCUCCCCUGCGCGUCCUCCCCUCCUCCUGCUCCCGGUCCUCGGGAUCCUGCUCCCUCUGCCGGUCCUCCCCUCGUCUCCUCCUCCCCUCCUCCUGCUCCGGUCCUCGGGAUCCUGCUCCCUCUGCCGGUCCUCCCCUCCGUCUCCCCCGCCCCUCCUCCUCUCCCGCCCGCCCGCCCUCCCUCCGCGCUCCUCCGGCGUCCUCCUCCCCUCCCCGCCUCAGGCGAGCUGACGCCGCCCGGCAGGAAUGCGUUUCCGGAGGGAGGGGAGCAGGAGCGGCCGCGGCGGCCGGAGGAGCAGGAGCGGCGGGGCCGAAGAGGCGGUGCCGCGGGGGUCGUUUCCUGCCGGGAGGCGGCUCCGGGCGGCCGAGUCUCCUGCCCCCGCCCCCGAGGAGGAGGAGCCGCCGCCGCCGCCGCGCCCGAGAGCCGGGAGGCCGCGCUAGCCGUCGGGAGAGGCCGAGCCGAGUCCCGGAGUCCCGGAGCUGCAGGCCCCAGCCGACCGCGGCCCGGACGCCCCGGAGAAGGUGGCGCCGUGUGUGCGCGUGUGUGCGCGUGUGCGCGUGUGCGCGUGUGUGCGUGUGGCGGGCGGCGCGGGCCGGGGCGCCGCGGCCGGGCCUGCGUGGGGCGGGGGCGGGGGCGGCGGGCGCGGUGGCGGGGCUGCGGGACGAACGCUGCGCCGGGGCCGGGGGCCGGGGGCCGGGGGCCGGGCCGGCUGCGCCCGCCGAGGCCCGGAGCUCGUCCCGCCGCCUCGCGAGUGGGGGUCGCGGGCCUGGGCGCUGUCCCGCCGCGGUGGGGGGCCCCGAGCGCGCGGAGCGAGCCGGCCUGCCUCGUGGGCCGCCUGGGCCCGGGUUCCGCGUGCGGGGAGGGGCGAGCGGGGCCGCCCGCGGCCCGACGCCCCGGGGCUUGGAGCGAGCCCUUGCGGCUUCCCUUUGUUCCCGGUCCCGUCGGGGCCGCUCUCCCCCGAGCGGCCUGGAGCGUAGUAGCGCGCUUCCCGCUUGCAGAAGUCGGGCCGCAGCCUUCAGGGCCUGCUGCCGGGGCUAACUGCGGGCCGGGCCCAAAGAGAGGCGGGCGUCGGGAGCCGGGGAAGGCGCGGGCUUGGCGACUUGGGGUGUGUGAGGGCCGCGCCGAGUGGGGGGUCCCUCAGCAGGGGGCCGGCCAGGGGCUCCCGCGGCUCUGCAGGAGCCAGUGCCCACCUGCCCUGGGGCCCGGCCUCUUACUGCGCCUCAAUUCUUGGGCUUCCUAA
This 1797-nucleotide long non-coding RNA is filed under the name Canis lupus dingo (dingo). Its description in RNAcentral is "lncRNA (ENSCAFG00020010707.1)". The record is from RNAcentral. Lineage: Eukaryota; Metazoa; Chordata; Mammalia; Carnivora; Canidae.